UUCCAACACAAUGUCCAUGGACAACGGUAAUGAGGUCGGCGCCUACGAGUUUGACCGGAACGCCCUGGACAACAUCGCCCGUCGGCGACAAGAUCGCCCACGCAAGAAAUACAGCCAGCAUCGUCCAGUGGAUGAGUUUGGAGUACAUAAGUUUGCCAGGGCAAACCAUCUAAGUCAAUUUACCGCGUGCCAAUUGGAGGAUGCCUUGUCCAAGGAAAGGUGCCAUAUGGACGACCUUGUCAACCUAUUGCGCCAAUCUAGUGACAUGGACGCAAAGCAGUUGCUUGGGGACAUCGGCCGAAAUGCCGGGACAAUGACUUAUUAGGGACAAUGACACGGCAUUUCACGCCCUCAAAGCGGCCCUAUGGCAUAAACAUGCCGGUUACC
This 387-nucleotide long non-coding RNA is filed under the name Volvox carteri. RNAcentral's name for it is "long non-coding RNA (VCAR_LNC001417)". Lineage: Eukaryota; Viridiplantae; Chlorophyta; Chlorophyceae; Chlamydomonadales; Volvocaceae. The record is from RNAcentral.